GACGAACGCUGGCGGCGUGCUUAACACAUGCAAGUCGAACGGAAAGGCCCUGCUUUUGUGGGGUGCUCGAGUGGCGAACGGGUGAGUAACACGUGAGUAACCUGCCCUUGACUUUGGGAUAACUUCAGGAAGCUGGGGCUAAUACCGGAUAGGAGCUCCUGCUGCAUGGUGGGGGUUGGAAAGUUUCGGCGGUUGGGGAUGGACUCGCGGCUUAUCAGCUUGUUGGUGGGGUAGUGGCUUACCAAGGCUUUGACGGGUAGCCGGCCUGAGAGGGUGACCGGCCACAUUGGGACUGAGAUACGGCCCAGACUCCUACGGGAGGCAGCAGUGGGGAAUAUUGCACAAUGGGCGGAAGCCUGAUGCAGAAACGCCGCGUGCGGGAUGACGGCCUUCGGGUUGUAAACCGCUUUCGCCUGUGACGAAGCGUGAGUGACGGUAAUGGGUAAAGAAGCACCGGCUAACUACGUG
RNAcentral lists this ribosomal RNA (468 nucleotides) under uncultured bacterium. Its description in RNAcentral is "partial 16S ribosomal RNA". It matches the Rfam family "Bacterial small subunit ribosomal RNA", at positions 28 to 507 of the family's 1533-position model. The record is from RNAcentral.